Molecule: long non-coding RNA, 4698 nt
Filed under: Triticum aestivum (bread wheat)
Lineage: Eukaryota; Viridiplantae; Streptophyta; Magnoliopsida; Poales; Poaceae
Description: long non-coding RNA (TAES_LNC020802)
Source: RNAcentral
GUUCUUCUUGACCUCUAUGGCUGGCCUAAAAUUGGUAAUUCGGCAUUGGCACACUUUACUCAAAUCUAUACUGCAAGCCCCAGGUGAAUACCUUGUCUAUUUGGUUUUUUUCAUCAUGAAUGCUAAUAACUUGUAUUGUUCAUGUUUUUGAAUAAUAAUUGCAUUAGUUGUCCUUUGUUUGUAACUUAGUUGAGUGUUUUGGUUGUAGAUCGAUUCAAUUCUGGACAGAAACUUCUUUGUGAAAAUGUGAAAGCUUGAUUCAUUCCUCUAUGGGCUUCUCAUGCCUCUAUGGGCUGAAGCUGAAGGCUGUGCUGCUCUGUGUGUGGGUGGGUAGUCAGAGGAGGUUGCUGGUGGAAAGCCUCCUUCUGAUGCUGACGCCUGAAGCAACCCUGUGAGGAGUGGUAGGUUGUUUGACUGUUGGCCAUUUACUGCUCUAACCACCAUCUGAUUGCUGGCAACAUUAGUUCUUGGUCUAGCCAUCCUAGUUCUGUAGUUGGGAACAGCAUUCUGAUGUUUGAACUUGUCCAUCACAAGUGUUUUGAGUGGAAUGGUUAUGUCCAAUGGCAGCAGGAUCUCCUCCAGUUCAUGCCGCUCAAGAUCUUCCUGGUCUCCAACUUGAUAGACAACACUGCACCAAUCUUUCACUGUCAUACUUGAUAACUUUCCCUACAUAGUACGUGUUUGCAAACAGCUUUCUCACUUUCCGCUCUUCUAGCCAUUUCCCAAAGCGAUGGUCAACUCGAGAUCACGAAGCAUCUCUUACUGCAAGUUGUGAACCAGAUGUGAAUUCAGGAGGCAAGUCUGGGACACGAUUGGUAAUGAUGGCAGGCUCUCUGGGUACUUUAACAAUAGGUUCAGUGUAUGGCUCUUGCAUGCCCUUACUCCCCUCCAUGACCUGAUAUUGCACCAAUUUCUAGGAUUUAACCAAAACAAACUAGAGCAGAAAUAAAGUAGUUUCAUCUAUAAGAUGAGUCAUCAUAAGCAAGAAAAGUCAAAAAUAAGUCGCCAUAAACCAAAUACUUUCACAGCUACAAUGCAGUAUUUUGACGAUCCAGGCAUGUUGAAACAUAAGAGAUACCAACCAACACUUGGGAUUUAGGAAGCAUGGCACAUCGCACCAGUGUUACAGGUAUCAUGUCAUAAUAGGCAUCAGGUCUCAACACAGCAGUCUGGCACUUAGGUGAAGUACAUAUGUAUUAAGGAUAUUAUUUUUUCAAUAACAUGUGAUGUGUUCUGAUACAUGGUGCGAAGUGUACAAUAUACUACUGUAUCAAGAGAUAAAAAUCCCAUUCCCCACUGGCCACUAUCUACAAACAACAUAGUAAUGCAGCUACAGCAUGCCUAUUGUGUACAAUGUCCAAUGUAUACAAACAACAUGGCAAUGCACGCUAUCUCCACACAUAUCAACUGGACAGUAAAAUGCCCACUGUACACAUGCUUCAACUGAAAAACUGAUUUUUUUAGAACAGCAGCCAAUAGCAUCAGCAGAACCACCCAUCCAUGGCACAACAGAACAGUAGCACAAGCAGCAGCACAACACCAGUAGCUCAAGCGGGAGCAGCUAGCACACGCACGAGAGUGGAAGAGGAGCUCAUCGAGGCGGCUUCCGGUGAUGAGGCAGAUCCAGGUCGGCGGCCGGCCGGCUUUUGAGAGGAGGGAGAGGCGGGUCGUUGUCGAGGAGCGCGACAUCCAGAGGAAGAGAGAGCGCUUCGGUGUCCCGCCUGGAUGAUCGUGCUUACCACCAAAUUUUCAAUGGCCUUCAUUAGUCAAUUUCUUCACAGAAUGGCGUACUAUACGUUUUCUUGUGUUUAAUCAGCAUGCUCGCAUAAGUGGACUCACUAUAAACACGUACGCGGGCAUGGCGUAUGGGGUGGCGGCCAGGACUUUGGCCAUCAGCGCGAACUCGAUGUUUUGUGGUCUGAUUUCAGCUUGAUUUUGUUUUGUUUCACUUGCUAUCUGCAGUCUCUUAGACUCUAGGUAGAAAGUGUUUAAAAGAGUUGACUUGUUAGUUUCCUAAAAAUUUCUUCCAUGAAAGAAUAUGAUUACGAUCUUUAGGGUUGUUUUGUUGUUCCAAAGGCACAUGGGAGUCUGCGGGAAAAAAGCUGACGAUGUUUUCUCUUGGAUAUUAAGAAAAGGGAGACACUCGGCGAUCUGGCUCUGCGGCAGGUAUGCCUUUUGUGCCCCUCUAUUUACUUACUUACUAUCAGCAUGGUUUAGUUUAGAGAGAACUACAGUACUUUGAGGCUACUGUAUGUGGUGUGUUCCCUAUUGUGCAUGGAAGUUAUUUUUCUGGGCAUUAUUCUACAAGGACUGUGUGUAACUACUUAGAAGCAUGAAAUAGCUAUGUAGUCAUCUGCCCAGCCAAGUACAAGGUAAAGUUCCUUCCUAUAAUAGUAGCCUUACAUAUUAAGGUAAUGGCUUUCAUUCUUCGGGAUAUAGGUGUUUCAUGGUAUGGUAGAAAGUAUUGAUUGUGAAGGAUGGUUGCAACAUCUGAGCAAAUAGUUGGUUUGAACAUUUUGUAGUUGUGAUUUGCACUAGGAGUUGCUGGCCUUUUUCGUAUCAGCUUCAUCGUUGCCAUACUUUUUUGGUAGAUAUUUAAACAUAGCUCAGUACGUAUCACACUCGCAAAGGGAGAGACAAAGCGUAGUUAGAGUCGCACAAGCUACUUGCUUCUUUCCUGAACAAUUAGAUUAUGAUAUUAAUGCAAUGCCGAUUCCUACAUUCAGGUUUAUUAGUUGGUUUUUUAUAUUGGCUUUAGGACGGCCAGUGUAUUUUGGUUAAUAUAUAAUGUGCUGCCAUUUGUUAACUUAAAUAUAUUUUCAUGCAUUUUCUUUGUACAUUCUUUCCAUUCAGGUUGUUUAAUAUAUAUGUACUGCCAUUUAUUAACUUAAAUAUAUUUUGAUGCAUGCCCUUUGUAUAUUCUUUCUGUUUAGGUUGGCAAUCCAGUCACUUACUCUGUCAAUUAUAUUUCCUUUUUCUGUUUUCUAUCUCUCUUUACAUACAUGCCAUUGCCCACCAAGUAUCAUACUACCUCCAAUUUGGGACAGAUGAAGUACCUUUUAGUUUUGUAUGCCACUGAGUAUUAUUUGGUUACUACAAACCCAAGAUUGUAUGCAAAUUCAAGAAAAUGUAAUUUACUGUACAGAUCAGUGGUUUAUGCUUCCCAACACGGUAAUGGAACCUGCAGUAUGCAAAUUCCAGAAAAUGUAGUUUCAGGCACAAUAUAGUUUCCUGUGUGCACGACUGCAUGCUGUCUCCAAACCUUUAGUACAGGUUACAGUAUGAUAGGGAAACGCAUCAGCAACCCAAUCUACAUAAGUGAUGAAGAAGGUCAUAGCAACUUACUCCCCCCGUAAAGAAAUAAUAAGAGUGUUUAGAUCACUAAAGUAGUGAUCCAAACACUCUUAUAUCUCUUUACAGAGGGAGUACUUGUUUACUUUACAGUCUUUUUACACCUUUGAUUAAUGCUGACUAUUUGAGCACUGACUAAUUACUUUGAAGCCCACCACUGCACCAAGAAGCUGAAAGAUUCAGCUUAAAACAAAACAACAUGGCAACAUCACAAGAACCUCAACUAAGGUACCAACUUUGCUAAUGUCAAAAGAGUUCUACAUUUGAUUUUGCCGUGUCAAAAGUUGAGUGGUUAUUUCUUGAAAAAAAAAACUUGAGUAGUAUCUUUGCCAGUCUAUUUUGUGGGUCCAACAGAGUAGCAUGGAGGAACUUUGCCUCCAUUGUUUUUAUUUAUUAAAUUGGGCGGAAAAUACGAAUGUACAUCUUAUUGUGAGCAACAAGCCUCAUUUCUUUUUUCUUAUUAAAAGAGAGUAAAAUUGUUAAAAUGUGCUUGCCCACAACUAAACCAAAUAAUAUAUGGAUUUUUUUUCAUUGCACACAUGGAUUUAGAAGGCCUCUGCGCCAUUUGGCGCAAUGGGUUACCAAAUUUCUGUGUGCAGUGGGCCGGGCCUCUGCGCCAUUUGGCGCAACAGAUUACCGCAGUGGGCUGGGAUUCGGGGUCAUCCUUCUCACCACCAGUCGAACAUACUACCCAAUUUCUGUGUGCAGUGGGCUUGGAGCCGGGGUCAUCCUUCUCACCACCAGUCGAACAUACUACUUCAUCCACCAUGUCGAGCGAUAUAAAACUGUUAUCUGUUUCAUAGAGCAACAACACGAGAUUGUGCCCCCUCUUGAUCCUGGUGCAUAUUGCUGCCCUCCUCCCCCCUUUUGAUUCGAGUUUCUUUACAUUGUGUGAAGUUGUGUACUUCCAACUUUACAAAGCUAUACCAAAUUCGCAACUGUACUUGGCUAUACCUGUAAGUGAUGCAUUUCUCUGCAGGUUACUGACACUUUCUGAAAAAGUAUGGAUAUUGAAUGGAAGACGGGAGAAUGAUUGAUGAAAACAGACAACACUAGAAGUGAAUGCAUUAUUAGUCAAUGGAAACAUGAUUGUUUUAUACACUUUCUUUUACUGAGGAUGAACUUUGUGUUGCAUGCUAUGAACAAAUGUAGUGUUUGACUAAUUUUGAAUUCUAUGUUGAUGCAACAAGUUCAUUCUUUCUGCUUAUAGUCUAUUGUUUUGUGGAAUCAUAAUGUGGGUGAUCCAUUUCUCUUAAAUGUAUUCAAUAAUGCUUCGCUUAUGGGCCAUAUUUAUAUUUGUUACUUGUGGACAUGUGCUUAAUGAUCACUAUACCAAUAUAUUUUUCU